UUUAGUUCAAAACCCCGAAACUAAGUGAGCUACCCCGAGACAGCCUAUCAAUUAGGGCCAACCCAUCUCUGUGGCAAAAGAGUGGGAAGAGCUCCGGGUAGAGGUGACAAACCUACCGAACUUAGUUAUAGCUGGUUACCUAAGAAAUGAAUAAAAGUUCAGCCUCGCACUCCUUGCCUCACAAACAUCUAAAACCACACGAGCCAAAGAAAUAUGCGAGAGUUAGUCAAAGGGGGUACAGCCCCUUUGAAACAGGACACAACCUCAUGCAGGAGGUUAAAGAUUACACUAAACAAGAUACACCGCUUUAGUGGGCCUAAAAGCAGCCACCUAGACAGAUAGCGUUAAAGCUCCAGCGGACUAAAAAUCUAUUAUCCAAAUAAUUUAUCUAAAACCCCUAACAAUAUUAGGUCGCCCCAUGCCUACAUGGAAGAGAUACUGCUAAAAUGAGUAAUAAGAAGGAACCCCCUUCUCCUAGCCUACGUGUAUAUUAGAUCGGACCCCCCACUAAUAAUUAUCGAGCCCAACCAAAGAGGGUAAUGUGAUCGCACUAGAAAACAAGAAAACAUCACACCACCAAAUCGUUAAUCCCACACCGGAAGGCCCACAAGGAAAGACUAAAAGAAAAGGAAGGAACUCGGCAAACCCAAGCCUCGCCUGUUUACCAAAAACAUCGCCUCCUGCAAAAAUCAAUGUAUAGGAGGUCCUACCUGCCCAGUGACAAGUUAAACGGCCGCGGUAUUUUGACCGUGCGAAGGUAGCGCAAUCACUUGUCUUUUAAAUGAAGACCUGUAUGAAUGGUGGAACGAGGGCUUAACUGUCUCCCCUUUCCAGUCAAUGAAAUUGAUCUGCCCGUGCAGAAGCGGACAUAUUAGUACAAGACGAGAAGACCCUUUGGAGCUUAAGAUAAAAGAUCAACUAUGUCAAGAAACUAAAAACAUAGCUUAAACUAAAUAGCAACUGAUCCUUAUCUUCAGUUGGGGCGACUGCGGAAGAAAACAAAGCUUCCACGAGGAUUGGGAUAAAUAACCUAAAGCCGAGAAAGACACUUCUAAGCCACAGAACAUCUGACCAUAUAAGAUCCGGCCACCCGCCGAUCAACGGACCAAGUUACCCUAGGGAUAACAGCGCAAUCCCCUUUCAGAGUUCAUAUCGACAAGGGGGUUUACGACCUCGAUGUUGGAUCAGGACAUCCUAAUGGUGCAGCCGCU
RNAcentral lists this ribosomal RNA (1211 nucleotides) under Silurus asotus (Amur catfish). RNAcentral's name for it is "partial 16S ribosomal RNA". It matches the Rfam family "Bacterial large subunit ribosomal RNA", at positions 701 to 2563 of the family's 2925-position model. The record is from RNAcentral. Lineage: Eukaryota; Metazoa; Chordata; Actinopteri; Siluriformes; Siluridae.